This is a long non-coding RNA of Bombus pyrosoma, 5258 nucleotides long. RefSeq lists it as uncharacterized. The transcript has 3 exons. NCBI's taxonomy places the organism in Eukaryota, Metazoa, Arthropoda, Insecta, Hymenoptera, Apidae. The record is from RefSeq and is a predicted model, not a curated record.
CAGAAGCAUCGAGUCAGUGCUUACUCGCGCGCGUUUCGGUCGCACGACACGCCAGUGGUUCUCAAUCUGAAGAUUACGGCGUGUGAAGAGGAUGCGAGAAAGCUCGGCCAAACGGAAGACACGAUAAGCACGUACGGAAAUCCGUAGCGGGUUCUGAAUUUAAAACACGAACAGUCUUGACACCGUUCUAAGUGUCCGAGUCUAAUGUUAUUGGACGGUCAAUAUUAGCGCGCUUCACGUGAUGAGCGACGAGCACCAUACGGCUUCCUUUUACACGCCACCGUUUUCCCUCCUAUCGAGGAAUGCUUUAGGCAUCGCUGGAACGACGGCGUUGCCAGGGUCUACAGGUACAGAAGAAACGAAGUUAUACUCGGUAUGCAAUAUGGACCGAUGCGUACCUUGUGGAUAAAAACGAUCGAUGUAAAUCUCUCUCACCUUGAAACUACAUAGUUCGAUGGGGAGACGAUUCGUCGAAGGAUCGCGUGUACGCUUUUGACAUUUCGUGGAUUGCCGUGCGUUAGCCCCGAUUUCCUUAUGAGCGAAUCCCGCGACACCCCAGACGAAUUUAAAGCUUUUAUGAAACGAGAGGGGUCGAACCAAUGACUAAGGGUAAAAUACGAAGAAAGAGACAGACAAAAAAAGAACUGUAGAAAUAGUAGGGCGGCAGAGGACGGAGUGAGCAAAUUGAAAAGUGGAGGAACGAGGAGGGAACAGGACGACGAAAAAGGACGUAGAAAAGGGAGCACGCGGCGAAGGAGAAGAAAAGGCUCGCUUUUCAGACGGUUCAAUAGAUUUCGAUCUGAGCGACUUUUUUCUGGGCUCGAAACGAAACGACGAACAAUGGGCCAGACGGAAACCAUGGCCGAGCUUGAAGACUUCCCGUGUGUACGAUUCCACGUGCAUAUGUGUAUGCAUAAGGGUUAGAAUGAUCGUGUGCGUGUACAUCUGGAUCGACCGGGUCCUGAACGAGAACGGAAGUUUAAUGACUUCGAGUGUCGGUGAAAAUCAGGAUCAGCUGGAGGCUCGUGUUCCGCGCGCGCUUUGUCGCUUGAUGACGUAAAAAGAAAUACAGAACCCUUGUCCGAAGGUUACGAAAGUUCAUCCGGUGCCGAAUGAAACGCGCGGAUGAAGCGGAGAUAUCUAAUUUUUAUGCGUAUACCUGGAAAAGCGAAGCUGGUAAAGCGGCCAGUUCUCUCCUAUCCGUUGCUGCCGUCUGGUGGGCCCACGAGAGAGAAAGUCAGUCGACAUCGAUUACGUAUAGCAGUUGGGAGUCGAAGGUCCCCCAGCUGUUCUUCCGUGGAGACCGAUGGACCAACGCCUCCUUUGAAAGGCCUCUUGCAAGCUGAUGAUGUUUAUCCGCUGGAUCUCGCCGAAAUUGAUUGUUUCCUCCCGACUGUAAAAAACGAAACGUUCGAUGCAGAUAAAAAAGAAGGAAGGAAAAAAGAGAUGGGGAAACUGAGAAAAAAAAAAGGAAAUAUACCGUUUCACGGUUGUAACAAUAAGUCCGUAUCGUACAUUUACAUAUAUUCUAGCAUUUUUCCAUUCCUGAAGCGAUAAUAACAUUAUAAAAUAUUUAUCGAAGCAAUGCAAUGAUAAGAUUAACAGAAUUCUUUGUUCCAAACAUCGUAAUUCCUGAAUGUUUCCAAACCGUAUUAUGAAUCCAUUGUAAUUUCGAGUUAAUCCGCCUUUUAUCAUUUAAUUGGCCGUUGUUCGCGAAUAACUUUGUUUCGUACGCAUUUAAUUCGACCUCCUGCAGAAAUUUUCGAAUACUUCCAUUCAAGAACCAUUUCAGCAGAGACCGAUGUGUGCAUGGUCAACACGGCCCUCUACGGUCGAACUCAGUCGCUCAAACGAUCGAUAACAGGACAUAGUAGCGUUUCUAUUUAUAUAGAAGUGCGGUUCGACAUAACCAGAGAUACAAUCCGCGAUACGUGCCAGAUAGAAUCUUCCCAUCCAAUUUUAGUCCGUAAAGCUUCAGAGAAUUACGUUACACGCGAAAUCUCGCGGAAGAAUCACCCGAUGAACCUCGCCACCGUGCACGGAACAAUAAAGGUUUUUAAAAUUGCAUUAGAAAGUUAGAAAAUCGAAUUGUGAAUUUUCAUAAUUUUUGUUUGGUAUCAUGAUGCUUGGAAUUUAGCCGUUGUAGAUUAUACUAUGUCAGUCGUAUUAAAAAUAGUGAUUCUUGUUUUUUCUUUAUUCGUGUAGAUGAUUCACGAAUAGAUAGUCUUACUUCGAUUUCGUUAUUUCAUUCGUUUAUCCUUUUAUAGCGAUGAGCGAAGAUGUUUCCGGACUUAGACGUAAUUUAUUAACGUUACAAAUGUUCGAACCGAUUGUGUGAUACAAGUCUAUAGAACAGAAAUAUAAUGAAAAUAGAAAGAAAACUUUUCUUGUCUUUUAUAAACUCGUGCCAAAGUACUUUACCCUACGGAGAGCGCUAGUUUGCGGAAAUUCAAUUUUCUUCCUUAUAACACUAUACAAGACAGGUUCCCGAACUUAUGUUGUUUCUUUCACUUUAUCUUCCUUACUAUAAUAUCAAAAUACGUGAAGUAUAACUGGUUUUUACAAAACUGUAUUUAUCCUUUUUCUUCUUAAAAAUAGCACUUUAUAGAACUUGGAAAGUUCCAUAAAAUUCAUAUAGAUGAGAUAAAUAUAAAUAAGAGAUAAAUAUUGAUUCCCAUUUUUUAUAGACAAACACGGAAACCAAGAAACCAGCACAGGUUUACGAGAUUCAAAUUUCCAAUCGACGUUUGCCACGUGUCUCGUCGUGAAAGCAACAAAAUCUAAUUUCGGGGAAUUCGAUUGGCUUAGAAGCGUGACACCUGAUGAUAGUUUCGUUCGAAUUCCAGCGGGAGACUCGCGAUAACGAUACACGGAUCUUCUUGCCUCAGAUUACAAGUUCUUCGACGCGUUCAACCGCAAACGCGCAUAUUCUAUCAACCGCAACGGCGUUUAAGCAGGGAUUAAGUUUUAUCCGGAACCGGCUACGUCCACAUGUAACGAAUACAGUUUAAUACGUUCGAUUGUUCUCGCCUUGUUAUCUGUUUUAUUGUAUGUACGUUUGCGGAUUAUGGCGCACGAAUGUGAAACAUUAGCAUUUUUUUACGAUUAUCCGAGAAAUAUACAUUUAAUUUGUGUUAAGACGUGUUGAAAUUUACGGGUGGUAUGUUAAUUCUUCAAAUAGAACUUGAUAAAAUGGGACAAACAAGUUUCUACAGAUGCAAACCUAUCGUUUCGCAAAUAUUGAAUGGUUAAAAUUAACUUUCACCGAUAAACUUAAACUGUCAACCAAUUAUUACGAUACUGGUAUUUUUGCGUUGCUUUUCUCUACUGUUCAAUGUAUAAACAAUAUUAAUCCGUUAAUAACACGAAAUAUGUACGCCGAUGCUGUGUGUUUGAUAAAAGCUAGAAUUGCGAAGUUCUGUAAUCUCUGCACUGCAACGUAAAUAAAUAUAAUCGUAUUCAUUUCAAAAUAUUGGGGAAUAUUUAUGCGAAGGUACAUUUUCAAAAAUGGUUUGUACAUAUUUCUGUUCUAGUUACAAGUUAUGUCUAUAAUUCUAUGACAUUUUGUAUUUAUACACAAAGGAACUUCUAAUAAGGAAUGUCUAACACAUCUUAGACACACAAGAAUGCCAUCGUUUCCUUGUAAACUCCAGAAUAAUCUAAACAGACUAAGAAUAUUCGCGAAAGUUCCUACGGCAAACUGAUAAUAUUCUCGGAUAAGCGAUUAAAAAUAUCCAUACAAAAACUACUAAUAUGCUUGUAGCGUAUUUAUAAGUGCUCGACAAUAUAUCUAUAUAGAUUCCUUCAAUUCAUACAACUCUUAAAUGAAUUCUUAAUUUCUCGUAGAAUACCAUCGGUUAAAAAUCUUAUAACAUACUUCAUAUUACGUUACUACUUGUUAUAGCACGACAAUCAGCGUCGCAUCACUUCGACAGCAACACUGAAAAGUCGGAUGGUACAAGCGUAUCCUUGACAAUGUGUGCUGAAUAUUCGGGUCACAUCCUCGAUCAGACUUCCUUCACCGGUCUAACACGCACACACGAGUAUACGCGUUCAAAGAGGAGACACGUAAGGCCGAUUAGACAGGGAUAUACAAACGUGUUCGGCGAAUUAUAACGAUUUAAAGUAGGACAUGUGCAUGUAUGUCUGCCGUAGCUCUCUUUGUCCACUCUUGCUCUCUUUCUCUUUCUAACCAUUUAGGAAUAAGGGAAAACGACCCUUUGCGAACAGGGAAACAGCUGUUGAGCGGUGAUGAGAAGAGGACGGAGGUCGGGAUUCGGAGAAUGGCAGAGAAGGCAGAUAGAGUGAAAAAAGAGGUUACCACCUGGCUUACCUGAAAACCGACGUCGGUAUACCUGCCCGAGCAUUCUUUUGUGCGGGCCCCGAGGCACGCACCCAUUCCCAUACGGCCAUAUUACAUCCUACAAAACUACAUGGUACAACGUUACUGUCGUGAUGCAGAGAAAGAUGUUUUAGGAAUAUAUUAGACGGUAGAAUGUCCUUGAUACCGUGUACGUAUAUGAAGGUGCUCGUUUUUGCAUCGUCGAUGUCACUGACUUUCGCGUUCCGUGGGACUUUCGCGCAUAAGGUCGAUGCAUAGUUGAUCCAUUCUCGCUCUCGUUAGACUAUACACGACUUUGGGCGAGUCCUAACUUGAUUACACCAUAAUUUAGAACUGGCAGUCAGAUUUUCUUCUAAGGAAGAUUAAGCGUUACACGUUAAAAAAAAAAUUGUUGAUGAUAUCGUUGAUGAUAAAUUCUGAUUCUUUGUAGAAUAUUUCAUUGUGAAGAUAUAAAAUCAAAAGACGUUGGUAUAGGUAGGACGAAGUGUCGUGUGCUUGAAUAAUUCAAGUACGUCUAAUGGCUAAUAUAUUAAAGUGGCAUAUGGUUCGGUUGCACGCGUGUUUCUACUUUUUCUCGCACAGAACCACUCGGUUCAGGGAUCAUUUCGUGCGGCCUCGUUUCCGGCCCGUGUGAAGCCAGAUGCAGUUUCUUUCCCGUUAAGUUUGUCGAAUCCAAGGAAUCGCUGAAUUCUCGUGACCGACCCUUCUCAAUUUUCUGAAUACACACCGAAAAUCCGGGCAGAUGGCAAAUGACAGCGGUACUCAAACCGUUAAUAUUAUCAGCAGCUCGUAACGAAAAGCGAAAUUGGAUUUUAUGAAAGAACAGCUGACAUGCUCGAACCCCUCUUCCAUCGUCCAACACGAUUUUAUCGCGGUUUCGAAACUUUUUUUUCCUGCAAUUGCGAAUAACUCUUUA